RNAcentral lists this unclassified non-coding RNA (376 nucleotides) under uncultured fungus. Its description in RNAcentral is "partial contains small subunit ribosomal RNA, internal transcribed spacer 1, and 5.8S ribosomal RNA". The stretch from base 1 to 73 matches the Rfam family "Eukaryotic small subunit ribosomal RNA", at positions 1759 to 1831 of the family's 1831-position model. The record is from RNAcentral. Lineage: Eukaryota; Fungi.
UCAAACUUGGUCAUUUAGAGGAAGUAAAAGUCGUAACAAGGUUUUCGUAGGUGAACCUGCGGAAGGAUCAUUCGUGUGUGUGGGCAUUCGAGUGCGCAAGCACGAGGAUGCUCACACUUACUGUAGAGAAGAGCUGGUUGCGUUAGCAGCCGGCGUUCCGUUGGGGCGUGCUCUAACGAAACAAAUGAGGCUGAUGAAGAGUUUUCGUCAUGUUUCCAAAACACACAGUCCUCGAUCUUCGUCAAACAAAGUGACUUCUGAAAACAUUUCAUUCAACCACUAUCGAUACUAUCCCAUUUCUAACAAUGUAAAAUAACUAAAAAACAUAACUUUUGACAACGGAUCUCUUGGUUCUCGCAUCGAUGAAGAACGCAGC